This 468-nucleotide ribosomal RNA is filed under the name uncultured bacterium. RNAcentral's name for it is "partial 16S ribosomal RNA". It matches the Rfam family "Bacterial small subunit ribosomal RNA", at positions 28 to 507 of the family's 1533-position model. The record is from RNAcentral.
GACGAACGCUGGCGGCGCGCCUAACACAUGCAAGUCGAACGGAGUCAAGAGGAGCUUGCUUUUCUUGACUUAGUGGCGCACGGGUGAGUCACGCGUGAGUAACCUGCCCUGGAGUGGGGGACAACGGUUGGAAACGACUGCUAAUACCGCAUAAGCCCACGGAUCUGCAUGGAUCUGCGGGAAAAGGAUUUAUUCGCUCUAGGAUGGACUCGCGUCCAAUUAGCUAGUUGGUGAGGUAACGGCCCACCAAGGCGACGAUUGGUAGCCGGACUGAGAGGUUGAACGGCCACAUUGGGAAUGAGACACGGCCCAGACUCGUACGGGAGGCAGCAGUGGGGGAUAUUGCACAAUGGGGGAAACCCUGAUGCAGCGGCGCCGCGUAGAGGAAGAAGGUUUUCGGAUUGUAAACUCCUGUCGUUAGGGACGAUAAUGACGGUACCUAACAAGAAAGCACCAGCUAACUACGUG